UGGNGGCAUGCUUAACACAUGCAAGUCGCACGGACCCUUCGGGGUUAGUGGCGCACGGGUGAGUAACACGUAGGAAUCUGUCUUGAGGUGGGGGAUAACUCCGGGAAACUGGAGCUAAUACCGCAUGAUAACUGAGGUUCAAAGGUCGCAAGACCGCCUUGAGAGGGGCCUGCGUUCGAUUAGUUAGUUGGUGGGGUAAUGGCCUACCAAGACGAUGAUCGAUAGCUGGUUUGAGAGGAUGAUCAGCCACACUGGGACUGAGACACGGCCCAGACUCCUACGGGAGGCAGCAGUGGGGAAUAUUGGACAAUGGGGGCAACCCUGAUCCAGCAAUGCCGCGUGUGUGAAGAAGGUCUUCGGAUUGUAAAACACUUUCGUUGGGGACGAUGAUGACGGUACCCAAAGAAGAAGCCCCGGCUAACUUCGUGCCAGCAGCCGCGGUAAUACGAAGGGGGCGAGCGUUGCUCGGAAUAACUGGGCGUAAAGGGCGCGUANGCGGCCGAUAGCUGUCAGAUGUGAAAUUUUUGGGCUCAACCCGAAAACUGCAUUUGAUACGUAUUGGCUAGAGUGCGAGAGAGGAUUGCGGAAUUCCCAGUGUAGAGGUGAAAUUCGUAGAUAUUGGGAAGAACACCAGUUGCGAANGCGGCAAUCUGGCUCGUUACUGACGCUGAG
RNAcentral lists this ribosomal RNA (672 nucleotides) under uncultured Acetobacter sp. RNAcentral's name for it is "bacterial SSU rRNA". It matches the Rfam family "Bacterial small subunit ribosomal RNA", at positions 37 to 750 of the family's 1533-position model. The record is from RNAcentral. Lineage: Bacteria; Pseudomonadati; Pseudomonadota; Alphaproteobacteria; Acetobacterales; Acetobacteraceae.